GAUGAACGCUGGCGGCGUGCCUAAUACAUGCAAGUCGAGCGAACAGACGAGGAGCUUGCUCCUCUGACGUUAGCGGCGGACGGGUGAGUAACACGUGGAUAACCUACCUAUAAGACUGGGAUAACUUCGGGAAACCGGAGCUAAUACCGGAUAAUAUAUUGAACCGCAUGGUUCAAUAGUGAAAGACGGUUUUGCUGUCACUUAUAGAUGGAUCCGCGCCGCAUUAGCUAGUUGGUAAGGUAACGGCUUACCAAGGCAACGAUGCGUAGCCAACCUGAGAGGGUGAUCGGCCACACUGGAACUGAGACACGGUCCAGACUCCUACGGGAGGCAGCAGUAGGGAAUCUUCCGCAAUGGGCGAAAGCCUGACGGAGCAACGCCGCGUGAGUGAUGAAGGUCUUCGGAUCGUAAAACUCUGUUAUUAGGGAAGAACAAAUGUGUAAGUAACUAUGCACGUCUUGACGGUACCUAAUCAGAAAGCCACGGCUAACUACGU
This 496-nucleotide ribosomal RNA is filed under the name uncultured bacterium. RNAcentral's name for it is "partial 16S ribosomal RNA". It matches the Rfam family "Bacterial small subunit ribosomal RNA", at positions 28 to 506 of the family's 1533-position model. The record is from RNAcentral.